GCCUGAGGGGUGUAACGGUAGCACACUCGACGCGUAUUCGAGAGAUCCAGGGUUCGAGUCCCAACGAGGGCA
Molecule: transfer RNA, 72 nt
Filed under: Stegodyphus mimosarum
Lineage: Eukaryota; Metazoa; Arthropoda; Arachnida; Araneae; Eresidae
Rfam family: tRNA
About the family: Transfer RNA (tRNA) molecules are approximately 80 nucleotides in length. Their secondary structure includes four short double-helical elements and three loops (D, anti-codon, and T loops).
Source: Rfam by way of RNAcentral